GACGAACGCUGGCGGCGUGCUUAACACAUGCAAGUCGAACGGAAAGGCCCUGCUUUUGUGGGGUGCUCGAGUGGCGAACGGGUGAGUAACACGUGAGUAACCUGCCCUUGACUUUGUGAUAACUUCAGGAAACUGGGGCUAAUACCGGAUAGGAGCUCCUGCUGCAUGGUGGGGGUUGGAAAGUUUCGGCGGUUGGGGAUGGACUCGCGGCUUAUCCGCUUGUUGGUGGGGUAGUGGCUUACCAAGGCUUUGACGGGUAGCCGGCCUGAGAGGGUGACCGGCCACAUUGGGACUGAGAUACGGCCCAGACUCCUACGGGAGGCAGCAGUGGGGAAUAUUGCACAAUGGGCGGAAGCCUGAUGCAGCAACGCCGCGUGCGGGAUGACGGCCUUCGGGUUGUAAACCGCUGUCGCCUGUGACGAGGCGUGAGUGACGGUAAUGGGUAAAGAAGCACCGGCUAACUACGUG
This 468-nucleotide ribosomal RNA is filed under the name uncultured bacterium. RNAcentral describes it as "partial 16S ribosomal RNA". It matches the Rfam family "Bacterial small subunit ribosomal RNA", at positions 28 to 507 of the family's 1533-position model. The record is from RNAcentral.